AAAACCCUGCCCUCCUCCUGCUCAUACUAUGUUCCUGCAAGGAGGCCAUGCCUUAGCCUGCUGGCCUUGACCAUCUCAGAGUUGAAGAGUCUCAUGGGUCAGUUCAACAGAUAUCAUCUACGAGAAUGAAGAAGGGUUGCUGAGUAGGGGCUCCAGUGUAAAGAAUAUCCAUUCUUCAAGCAUAGAUUCCAAGCCUCCCAUGAAUUCUAUACCACAAAUUCUCUCAAUAAAGCAGUUUUCUGCUUAAUUGUAG
Molecule: long non-coding RNA, 253 nt
Filed under: Ictidomys tridecemlineatus (thirteen-lined ground squirrel)
Lineage: Eukaryota; Metazoa; Chordata; Mammalia; Rodentia; Sciuridae
Description: lncRNA (ENSSTOG00000031602.1)
Source: RNAcentral